GUGUGGGAUUGGGUUUAUGAUGGCCCACCCCCAGGCCAGAGCAGACUAGCCCCGAACCGUUGCCCAGCAGCUGUGCCCACGGGCUGAAGGCAUUCAGGCGCGUUACUGCACAAUG
This 115-nucleotide small nucleolar RNA is filed under the name Echinops telfairi (small Madagascar hedgehog). RNAcentral's name for it is "Small nucleolar RNA SNORA42/SNORA80 family (ENSETEG00000026263.1)". Lineage: Eukaryota; Metazoa; Chordata; Mammalia; Afrosoricida; Tenrecidae. The record is from RNAcentral.